Neopelma chrysocephalum (saffron-crested tyrant-manakin) is the source of this 2359-nucleotide long non-coding RNA. RefSeq lists it as uncharacterized. Lineage: Eukaryota; Metazoa; Chordata; Aves; Passeriformes; Pipridae. The transcript has 4 exons. The record is from RefSeq and is a predicted model, not a curated record.
CCCUCAGCCCACUCCACUUUCCUAUCUCCUCUCAGCUCCAUCUCCUCUCAUCCCACUCUCCUCAGCCCCAUCUCCCCUCAUCCCACUCCCCUCAGCCCCAUCUCCCCUCAGCUUUUCCCAUGGCGGAGCGACUGUAACUAUUGGUGGAAACAGGCAGGAGUUAAUACGCUGGGUGACUAGGAAAGGAAAUCUCAGGACCGUAGCACAGGACUCAUUUUCAUUUUAGAUGUUUAUGCAGAAGGCAGCACCUCCUGGUACAAAGGCAAGCCGUUCCCUCUGUCCCCUCUCCAGGCAACACUGGGAAACGCACCAGCAAACUUGUCCCUGCUCCAGUCCCUUCCCAGCCUUACUGAGGGCUCGUCCACAGGCUCCCAGAGCUUCUGUUUGAUUACAGGAGCUGAAGUUCCACUCUCUGCAAAACUGAGGUAGGAAUGGACACGAACAAAAAGCAUCCCGUCCUGCAUCCAGGGAGGAGAUUACAGUGUGUCAUCAGUCCAGCAGGACCAGGUGGAGGUGUGAUAACCCUGGAGAAGUGACUACAGAUCUUUGAAAACAACCAGAGGACAAGCAAAUCCCCAGAAAGGGAUUACUGUCUUCAUGUAGAUCCUGGAGUGGAAAUGUUCAUUGGUUUUAUAUGAAGCUUGAGAGUGUCAUGUACAAGUAGAAUUCUACAAAACCCAGUUUGGAAGCCAAAUCUCAAAGUGUCCUGGCUCUUAAAAUACUGGAUGUGUCAAUGUUUGUUAUAACUAGAACAUCAGGAACCCAAGGCCUCCAACACCCUGCAAACCUGCAUUAACCUGACACCUUUUACAAGCUUUGAAAAGAAAUCACAGGAAUGCAGGCACAUCCCAGAGCCUGCCACCACAGCAGGAAAGCACCCUGCCAACGUGUUUACUCACUGCUGGGAUGAGCUCACCCAAGAUGAGAAAGUUCCCUUAACCAUUACAGGAAACCAUUUUCCAUCACGGUCCUUUGGGUGUUUAACAAACACCGCAGGAGGAAGCUCUGCCCUCGGGAACUGCCGAGAACACCGAGGGCCCCUGAUGGUGGUGCAGGGGACAGCAGUGCCCAGCUGUGCCCCCUCCUGCCAGGGCACUGUAAAUCACUGUGGGAGCAACACACGGCUGGAGGGGAGGUGAGACACCUCCUGCCCUGGUUCUCUUGUCCUGGAACGUCCCUUAGACUGCAUUUGCCUGGGCUGUGCAUCAGUCACAGCUGCCUUCUCACUGCAAGCACCACAGCAGGGAUGUGUGGGCACAGGGAGCUGUUGUGGUCACACUGUAAAGCAGAGGCAGAGGUGGAACUUGCCCCAGUGAUGCAGAGAGCCAGUUCCUCAGCUCUAUCAAAUCCCCAUCCUGGAAUUGCACAGCCAUAGAUUGUUUCUCAGUGUAGUCGAGCACCAACUAUUUAAGGCAGGGAUUCCCUAUGCAUGUAAUUGUAUGUUAUAUAAUAAGAGUUAUGUGUCUAAUUGUUACUGGGAAAAAAAGAAGUAUAGGAAUAAUAAUUGCUAUGAUUCCUGCCUUCCCUAGUAGUGCCUGUUUUCCUUGAAGUAAUCAGGGACUUGUUGCUAGGUAGUUAAUAUUAAAGGUACCUUAAAUAUUUUAAUGUGUCUAUGCCAGCUGUUUCUAGGCAGCAAUAUUUGUUUAUGAUAUUGUUAUCCAACCCUACCUUAUAUCCUUUAUUCAGUGUAAUCUAAUAUAUCCAUACAGUUACAUUGCAGUCCUGAUACUUUUUUAUUCACAGAAUAGCUUACUGAAGUAACUACUGUUAAGAAUUAUAAAAUACCUCUAAUGUACAAGAUUUAAUCUUAGUCAAGGUGCAUUGGUAGCCACCAGUUCAAAUAUUUGAAACUGAAUUAAAUACUUAAAUAACACAAUUUGAAAUUUGGUAGUGCUUCUGUGCACUUUCAGCAUCAGCAGAUGCUUACAGAAUUCCAAAGUUUUAAAGUAAAUUAUAUGAUUUCAGUCAAAUGCCUAAUUAAGGGUAUGUGUCAUCAUUUCAUCAGUCCUUUGGAAGUAAAACUUGCUGUAUUCUUGGCCAUUGGGCAACAUUGCUUUAGGUUUUCCUUGGUUUAAUCUCAUUUUUAUUAAAAAAAAAAAAUAGAAAAACUCGCCUGGUUUAAAAAUUAUGGCUCUUACUAACAGAUUGUACACUCUGAACUGUGCACUUGGAGAGGUGAGAGACUGCUGAUGACUCCUGUUCUUUGCCACAGAUCUACAUGGGCUGUGGAAAACACAUUAUCUGCCUGCCAACCCCGUGGGAAAUGAGGGAGGGAAUUAUUCCAGACACUGCUCAUUUCUGCAAAUGGAAGGAGCUGAGCUUUCCUGACAAGACAGGAGUGGAUGGGAACUCAAAGUUC